AAAUAUUGAAGCGAUAUAUUGCAAUUAGUUUCGGCCUAAUCUUUAGGGUGAAAUUCCACCCGUAUUUU
Molecule: transfer RNA, 68 nt
Filed under: Culex tritaeniorhynchus
Lineage: Eukaryota; Metazoa; Arthropoda; Insecta; Diptera; Culicidae
Description: tRNA-Arg
Source: RNAcentral